GAUUAUUUGGGACGCGGCACCAAUGAUAGAUCGAAGAUGCUUUGAGGCAUUAGAUAAGACACUUAAAGAUAUACUUAAUGAGCCAACGCAGUCUUUUGGUGGAAAAUCAGUGCUGCUGGGUGGGGAUUUCAGACAAACUUUACCUGUAAAACCUAAAGCGAGCAAGAGAGACAUCAUAGAGUCAUCUAUAGUUGAAUCGUCAGUAUGGAGCCAUUUCAAAGUAUGUAAAUUAUCAAAAAAUAUGAGGCUUCUUCAACCUAAUCUAAGUACCAAAGAAAAAGAAGAAAUUGCUGCUUUUUCAUCAUGGUUGUUGCAGAUAGGAGAUGGACGUGUUGGUGUAGAUGAUGAAGAUGAUCCUACUGACACCAAAUGGGUAGAGAUACUAGAAAAAUAUCUCAUACCAGAUCAUGAAGAUGCUCUUAAGGAUUUAGUUCGCUUUAUAUAUGACGAAGACAUUUUUCAUAAUCCAACAGCAACCAUGUUCUGUGACAAAGCCAUUGUUUACCCUAAAAACGAAACUGCAGAUGAAAUUAACAACCUCAUAUUGUGUAAUCUGCCAGGGAAACCUAUUAUUUAUCUAAGUUUCGACUCAAUUAUUCCACAUACGAAUGAUAGAGGGGAUACAAAGGUUCUUUAUCCGUCUGAAUAUUUGAACCUGCUUAACUUCAGUGGUUUCCCUACUCACCGUCUUCAACUAAAAGUUGGUAUUCCAAUCAUGUUACUCCGCAACAUGAAUCAGAUGGAAGGGCUCUGCAAUGGAACUAGGAUGAUUAUCACACAGCUUCUACCAAGACUUAUUCAGGCAGAAGUCAUCACUGGAGUUCAGAUAGGCCACAAAGUUUAUAUACCUCGAAUCACUUUAAAUCAUACUGAUAAAGAAUUACCAUUCGUUUUCAAAAGAAAGCAAUUCCCAGUUAGAGUUUGUUAUGCCAUGACGAUAAACAAGAGCCAAGGCCAGUCUUUAAACAAGAUAGGAAUUUAUCUUCCUCAUCCAAUUUUCAGUCACGGGCAAUUGUACGUUGCACUAUCUAGGGCUACAUCAGCAGCUGGUCUCAAAAUACUGAUUAAAAGACAAGAGGACCAGCCAUCUAAUUGUACAAAAAAUAUUGUCUUCUCAAAUUUUUUAGCAAAAUUAGAAUCUGCACAGGCUGUAGAUAUGGAGCUUCUUCUUCAUUGACUUAAAAAAAAAUCACCUUCCACAGCAGUAGCACCGAUGAUGUUGGUAAUAUUGAUGUUUGAAGGUAGAGGUGGAAGGAAUCAAACAGUUGCAAGGUAAUUAUGUUACAUGAUUUUGUAUAAUAUAAGUAAUAGAGAAAAAAUGUAACUAAAAUAUCUUAAUGAGUUAUGUUUUGAAAUUAUAUAAGUAAAAGGAAAAUAAAUGGACAGACUUAUAAACCCCUCUUAUUGCUUUUUUGGUUUUUUUAGUGUUAAUGAUGUUGCACUCUUCCACAGGUUUAUACAACCAAGAGAACUUUUUUUUUUUUAUUUUUUCUUGGCAGUUUUUGCUUUUUUGGUGUUCUACUUUUAAUGUACUACAAGAACACAAGUCAGAAUUAUCAAAAUCAGGUACGAUAGAACCAGUCAGCCUUACCCCUCUUUUCCUCACGCAAUCUUCUAGGUACGGUUCGCUUCGAUCUCAUUCAUAGAUUUCGUGAUUUUUCCACCAGCCACUCCUUAUUACCAGAUAAAACACUUCAUGCGAUUUCACUUUUUCCACAUAUCGGCUUCCUGUCUUCCAGAUUCUACAAAAAUGGAUACAAGUAUGGUAGCAAACUUAAACCCUGGUGAUGGAGACAAGCCAAUAGAAAUAAAAGUCAUUUGGAAAUUGUUAUCAUAUGGGAAAAAAGUUGAAUGUUGCUACAUAUUCCUUGAUAAAAGUGGAGAUGCAAUAGAAGCAUGUGGUUUCCUGGGAGAUAAAGGCUACUUUGAUUCGAUAAUCAGGAUGGAUGGUUGUUACUCUGUAAGCAACUACAUGUGUGACAAUGCAAAUACUUUCUUUGUUACUGUUCCACACAAAACCAAAAUCAAGCUAGGCAGGGCAGCAAAAUUUGAAGAAAUACGUGAUGAUGGAUUUCCUGUGUACUACUUCAAUUUUCUUGCAUAUGGUUAAUUAGGUGCAAGGCUUGAUAACCAUAAGACACUCACAUGUAUGUAAUACUUACACACACACACACACACACACACACAUAUAUAUAUAUAUAUAUAUAUAUAUAUAUAUAUAUUAAAAUCAUAAAAUUGUUAUAUUUGUGUUAAGAUUAUAUCGGAAGAGUUGAAAAUGUGUAUGAAGUAGUCAGAACUCAAGGAAAUGCAAUUUUGAAACUCAAACUAGAAAAUUUGAGGUAUUUUCUAUCUCAUAUAUCUAACAAAGACCACAACAUAUCAUAUUUAAUAUCUGAAAUAUGUAUGUUUAAUGGAACAAUGAUUGAGACAACUUUCUUGGAUGAGGCGGCUAACUUAUUUGAUAAAGAAGCUAUCGAAACAUUGCCUUCUCCUGUUAUUGUUGCUAUUACUUCAAUGAAGGUCACACACUGUCUAGGAAAUUUGCAACUGACCGCAACUCCAGCCUCAUAUAUUUACAUCAACCCCACUAUUCCCAAGGCUGUUGUAGUGGCUGCUGAGUUUCUCGAACGACAUAAUCAAAACCCUGUACUCAAGAUACAAUACCAAAAAGUAAAGAUGUAGAAGUCGAAAAGAAAAGAAACAGGUUUCCAUUGGUAGACUUGCUAUCUCAAAACCCAAAUCGUUAUGCAGUAAGCCAUCAAACCUUCUCUUAUCUUAAAAUAUAUAUACAAAUUUUAUAGUUUUAAAUUUAAUAUAUAUAAUAUUACAGGGAGCUCAGUUCACUUGCAAAGCAUCUCUGGUUAGCAUAGAUGCAAGCAAGGGUUGGUUUUAUAAAGCAUGUCAUGAAUGUCGUAAAAAACUUCAAAAAAGAGGAAACACACUUGCAUGCGAAGAUCAUGAUCAAGUUGCUAAACCAAACAAUUUGUUUUUUAUCACAGCAUACAUCGCAGAUGAGACCGCUCAAGCAAAGAUAGUAUUUUUUGAUGCUGCAACUAGAAUGUUGUUCCAAACAGAUUGCAACACACUCAUUGAUCAUCAUGGAUACAUUGAUCCGUACACAUUGCCUGCACCGCUCAUCAUUCUCAUAGGCCAGCCAAAAAUAAUUCAAUUCCGAUUCGCAAGAUUCUGUAGGCCGGGUGCUAAAGACUUUGUAGCAGAUGCUGUUUUUGAAGAUAUAGUUUCUCCAGAAAAAGAAAGUCACACAGAAACAGACAUUAUCAACCAACCAACUGCCUCAGCAUCAUAAAAAAAAACACCCACUACAUCAACUGAUCCUCCAUCUACUGCUUCUGUUACUCCAACAAAAGCCUUUCAAGAGUGUGACAACCCGAAAUUUCCAUUCUGUACAAACCAUAUCCAGCCAAUAGAAGUAGAACAAUUACAGUGAAAUUCCAGACUUUGGGUAUAAGUUUGAGUAUUUCAGAAAUUGCACUUAAGGAGAUAUCAGGAGAGUGGAUGCACUAGGGUUUUGUGCAACACUGUUAUUCCAAAACUCUAUGAUAUUAGAGUUCAUUCCGAGAAUAAAAUAUUUUCUGCCAAAAAUCCCAGGACUAUAUAUAGAAAUCUGAACCAUAUUCAUUCAUUAGUUACAUUUCCAACUAGAGAAAAGCCGAAUUCUCU
Lactuca sativa (garden lettuce) is the source of this 3681-nucleotide non-coding RNA. The record is from RefSeq and is a predicted model, not a curated record. NCBI's taxonomy places the organism in Eukaryota, Viridiplantae, Streptophyta, Magnoliopsida, Asterales, Asteraceae.